UAAGAUUGAGGCUUCUCCCACUUGAGUGGCUUCACGACUUCCCAGGUGAAGUCUGGGUCGUCCCUUCCAAAGUGUCCAUAGGCAGCUGUCUUCAAGAACCUGCUAUUGCCACCCCUCUUAAGGUCAAGAUUGAUAGUGAUCAUUCCAGGCCUAAAGUCAAAGUUCUCCUUCACAAUCUUAAGGAUUUCCUUGUCCGGAAUCUUUCCAGUUCCAUAUGUGUCAACAUAGACUGAUAAUGGCUUUGGCACACCAAUGGCAUAAGAGACCUGCACUAUGCACCUGCGAGCAAGGCCAUUUGCCACAAUACU
This 308-nucleotide long non-coding RNA is filed under the name Carica papaya (papaya). RNAcentral describes it as "long non-coding RNA (CPAP_LNC007983)". Lineage: Eukaryota; Viridiplantae; Streptophyta; Magnoliopsida; Brassicales; Caricaceae. The record is from RNAcentral.